This 253-nucleotide ribosomal RNA is filed under the name uncultured bacterium. Its description in RNAcentral is "partial 16S ribosomal RNA". It matches the Rfam family "Bacterial small subunit ribosomal RNA", at positions 524 to 776 of the family's 1533-position model. The record is from RNAcentral.
UACGGGGGGGGCAAGCGUUGUUCGGAAUUACUGGGCGUAAAGGGUUCGUAGGUGGCUUGCUAAGUCAGACGUGAAAUCCCUCAGCUUAACUGGGGAACUGCGUCUGAGACUGGUGAGCUUGAGUGCAGGAGAGGAACGCGGAAUUCCAGGUGUAGCGGUGAAAUGCGUAGAUAUCGUAAGGAAGACCAGUGGCGAAGGCGGGUCUCUGGACAGUUCCUGACGCUGAGGCACGAAGGUCAGGGGAGCAAACAGG